This is a long non-coding RNA of Hyalella azteca, 183 nucleotides long. RefSeq lists it as uncharacterized. The record is from RefSeq and is a predicted model, not a curated record. NCBI's taxonomy places the organism in Eukaryota, Metazoa, Arthropoda, Malacostraca, Amphipoda, Hyalellidae. The transcript is spliced from 3 exons.
ACGGCUCCCCUAGGAGUGAACUCGGCGAUUGGGUUUGCCUGGUGCAAUGGGAGAGCAGCUACAACACCAAUGCCACCAACGUCAACACCAACGACAGCGUCGACUACGGUCUCUUCAUGAUCAACGACUACUGCUGGUGCUAUUCCAGCUCUCCGUACGCUGACUGCGCCGUCGAUUGCCAAG